GGAAAAUGGAAGAGAGUUGGCGUCACCCAAAGUAAACAUGGCGACAAGGACCCACUUGCAAAUCGUUUCGGAGGCAAAGGUGUGCUUUUACUGUGCUGGCAGUGUGACAAAAAGGUCACUGCCAGAUGUAGAAAGUCUGGCUACUUGGAAGCAAAAUAUAAAGAAAUAAGCGUGGUACAAGUCUUUUUAGUUUGGCAGACUAGUGCCAGAUAUCCGGGUAACCAGCAAGAGAAAAAGUGUUUCUAUGUGGAAAAAAAAUCGUCAUUCACAGUUACAGGUUUGACCUUGAGUGUGCAUUUCCACAGUAGAAGUCACAAAGACAAUAUUCCCCACUUUCUUCACCUACUUGUCAUGAAGAGACCAUCAACAUUAUAUCUGUCCUGCUGUAUUUUGUUCUGAAGUGGAAAAAAUGCCCAUACUCUGCUGUCUGCAGAGAUCCAUCCUCCACAUCGGAUAAUCCUUUCUUGAGCCUGAUACGAUAAUGAAGGUCAAGAUCAUCCAUCCUAAUACUAACAGAAAGCAGGUUAAUCAAGAUCAGACUGAAUGUGAUUUGCUGUCGUAAUAGCGUUGGUACCUGGAUUAGCAGAUCCCAAAACAGUGUCCUUCCCUCUAUAGUGGAGCUAAUUGAACCAUCUUGUGCAUUGGCACUCGCUAACGUGUUUGCUUAUCUGUGGAAACAUGUUUGUCAGUAGAUAUGCAUUACUUCAUGUUCAUUAUGGUGAGCAUACCCUAAAAACAUAUAUUGGCUUCUAAUUUUUCUUGCUUCUGGUGAUAUUCCUGGAGGAGUUGUUUUUUCUUUUUUUGGAUAAAUCCAUCAACACAUCCAGUUACAGUCAUAGGGGUCAAGUCAGCUGAUACUGUGAGAGGCAGGGUACAGCUUGGACAGGGUGACUGCCAAUUUCAGAGAGUGACAAGAUCAAAGUUACACAAAAUUCCAAUUAAGACCUACUAAUUAACUUGUCAUAUAGGUCUUUGUUAUGUGGGGUGAACUUCCUGAGAAAACCCUCACAUGCACAGUAAGAACAAUUCCACAGAGGAAGGCCCCAUGCAGGUUCAAACCCACAACCCUCUUAAUGCUGUCGCUUAAUUAAUGAAUAAAUAACUGUUUAGUCAUUGAAUUAAUUAAGUAUUUAAAUGUUUGACAGGCCUGUAAAUGUAUUCCCACUCCCUCUGCUGCUUUACUCCAGCACACCUACAAUAGAUGCUGCACUAAACAUCACACAAAAAUUGUAAUUUAACACUGAGCAGACAAAGCCCCAUUCCUGUGGAUGUGGACAAGAUCACACACUUCAGUGUCUUUCUAGUCCUUAGGGCCAGCUCUCAAACUCAGGCAGCAAAGACCCAAGCUGGAUCUGCGUCCACCCUGAAGCCCAACAACAAGGUGACCAGGAUGGUGGUGAUCUUUGUGCUGGGCUUCCUGACAUGAUACAUCCCGGCUUCGCUUUUGUACUUGUGAACAACCACCGUCAGUCUUUUGAUUUGAGAUUAGCUUCUAUGGUGUCUGUCUUUUCCAAGAUCCCCUGCAGUCUUUAACCUAGUUGUCUAUGUUGUCCUUGAUAAACAGGUCUUUAGGAUCUCCUGCCAAUUUUUGGCAAGCACAAAAGAACAGCAUGGACAUCACAUUGUAGCACAUUGUGUCUCCACAUUCUGGAAACUUGCAGUCUGUAGAAGUCCCUAGUGUUCCUUUCCAUAAUUAAAAGACCCCAAAUAUAAUAUAAACUAACAAACAGGUUUCAAUUAAAAUGUCUUAUUAAAGCAGCUACAAUGCAUCAAGAAACAAAUAAACUAAAUAAAGAUGCUGAGGAUGAGUAGAAAUAAGGAUGAAGAUUCCUCAACAUAAGUUGGACCUGCCUAGAGUGGAAAUGCAUGUGAUUAGGUUGAUUAUAAACUGCUGCUGACUGGCUGGGCAUAUGAUAGCUGUAUUUUGUUAAUAUUCACAUACACACCAAAUUGCUUAGGUUAUGCAAUUUUGUUUUUCCUGUAUGAAAUAGUCUAUAACGUUUUUGCCCAUUAAAAUGAUAUAAAGUAAAAAAAAUAAGAAAGUGUUGAGCAAGCUAGUUUAAUAAUUCUAUUUCCCUCCACUAACUUUCUUCCUCUUAAGUAUGCUUAUGCACAUCCUCCUCUGUAUCGGAUCGUUGGGACGACAACGAGCAAAUUCUGCGAUUAACCCGCCAGCUUAAAUCGUACCACAGAGUGUUACCAUAAAACCUUCAAUCUUGCAUGCUAGUGCAACAAAGACGCUCCCUUAAGCUCAGUGAAGGCAGCAAAAUGCCAAGGAGGUAACACAAAGCUUGAGUUAAAUCCCCAUGCAAAAUAGGGUGUAAUCCACUUAACAAGAGAUUAUCAAAUAUAAUGUGAUUGGAAACCAGAUUAGCAGGUGAAGACCGGCAGGGAACUUCCUUAGGAAAGAGGGAUUAACCUCUUUAACCAAGUUUGGAUGCCAAAAGCAUAUCGAGGUUUGCACAGAUUUUUGGAAGUCCAAAUAUGCUUGUGUUUGUUCCCAGAUUCAAAUACUUGUUAAUUCAGAUAUCUGCCAAAUAACCAAAUCUCAGAAUUUAGCAUCACAGCACACAACACAGAACUGGAAACCACAGAAGCA
Molecule: long non-coding RNA, 2599 nt
Organism: Oreochromis niloticus (Nile tilapia)
Lineage: Eukaryota; Metazoa; Chordata; Actinopteri; Cichliformes; Cichlidae
Exons: 5
Source: RefSeq, a predicted model, not a curated record